This 253-nucleotide ribosomal RNA is filed under the name uncultured bacterium. Its description in RNAcentral is "partial 16S ribosomal RNA". It matches the Rfam family "Bacterial small subunit ribosomal RNA", at positions 524 to 776 of the family's 1533-position model. The record is from RNAcentral.
UACAGAGGGUGCAAGCGUUAUUCGGAAUUAUUGGGCGUAAAGAGCGUGUAGGUGGUUUGAUAAGUCUGGUGUGAAAGCCCUGAGCUCAACUCAGGAAGUGCAUUGGAUACUGUCGAACUAGAGUACAGGAGAGGAAAGCGGAAUUCCAGGUGUAGAGGUGAAAUUCGUAGAUAUCUGGAGGAACAACAGAGGCGAAGGCGGCUUUCUGGACUGUUACUGACACUAAGGCGCGAAAGCGUGGGGAGCAAACAGG